UACGUAGGAGGCGAGCGUUAUCCGGAUUUACUGGGCGUAAAGAGGGCGUAGGUGGCCUUUCAAGUCGGAUGUGAAAUCUCCUGGCUUAACUAGGAGGGGUCAUUGGAUACUGUUGGGCUAGAGGGCAGCAGAGGGAGGCGGAAUUCCCGGUGUAGUGGUGAAAUGCGUAGAUAUCGGGAGGAACACCAGUGGCGAAGGCGGCCUCCUGGGCUGUUCCUGACACUGAGGCCCAAAAGCGUGGGGAGCAAACAGGAUUAGAUACCCCCGUA
RNAcentral lists this ribosomal RNA (269 nucleotides) under uncultured prokaryote. RNAcentral's name for it is "partial 16S ribosomal RNA". It matches the Rfam family "Bacterial small subunit ribosomal RNA", at positions 524 to 792 of the family's 1533-position model. The record is from RNAcentral.